UACGUAGGGCGCAAGCGUUAUCCGGAAUUAUUGGGCGUAAAGAGCUCGUAGGCGGUUUGUCGCGUCUGCCGUGAAAGUCCGGGGCUCAACUCCGGAUCUGCGGUGGGUACGGGCAGACUAGAGUGAUGUAGGGGAGACUGGAAUUCCUGGUGUAGCGGUGAAAUGCGCAGAUAUCAGGAGGAACACCGAUGGCGAAGGCAGGUCUCUGGGCAAUAACUGACGCUGAGGAGCGAAAGCGUGGGGAGCGAACAGG
This 253-nucleotide ribosomal RNA is filed under the name uncultured bacterium. Its description in RNAcentral is "partial 16S ribosomal RNA". It matches the Rfam family "Bacterial small subunit ribosomal RNA", at positions 524 to 776 of the family's 1533-position model. The record is from RNAcentral.